Molecule: ribosomal RNA, 301 nt
Filed under: uncultured bacterium
Lineage: Bacteria
Description: partial 16S ribosomal RNA
Rfam family: Bacterial small subunit ribosomal RNA
Source: RNAcentral
CAGUCGCCGCGGUAAUACGUAGGGUGCAAGCGUUAAUCGGAAUUACUGGGCGUAAAGCGUGCGCAGGCGGUUUGUUAAGACAGAUGUGAAAUCCCCGGGCUCAACCUGGGAACUGCAUUUGUGACUGGCAAGCUAGAGUAUGGCAGAGGGGGGUAGAAUUCCACGUGUAGCAGUGAAAUGCGUAGAGAUAUGGAGGAACACCAGUGGCGAAGGCGGCUACCUGGACUGACACUGACACUGAGAGACGAAAGCUAGGGGAGCAAAUGGGAUUAGAUACCCGCGUAGUCCCUGUCUCUUAUAC